UGCCAGCCGCCGCGGUAAUACGAAGGUGGCGAGCGUUGUUCGGAUUUACUGGGCGUAAAGAGCACGUAGGCGGUUGGGUAAGCCUCUUGAGAAAGCUCCCGGCUUAACCGGGAAAGGUCGAGGGGAACUACUCAGCUAGAGGACGGGAGAGGAGCGCGGAAUUCCCGGUGUAGCGGUGAAAUGCGUAGAUAUCGGGAAGAAGGCCGGUGGCGAAGGCGCAUUGUUAGAUCUUAGUCGACUUUGAGAGACGAAAGCAAGGGAAGCGAAUGGGAUUAGAUA
This 279-nucleotide ribosomal RNA is filed under the name uncultured bacterium. RNAcentral's name for it is "partial 16S ribosomal RNA". It matches the Rfam family "Bacterial small subunit ribosomal RNA", at positions 506 to 784 of the family's 1533-position model. The record is from RNAcentral.